CAGGCCUCCCUCUGCUUGGUUCUAAUCGUGGGUAUGAGUGAGGGGUGAUGCUUGAUGGCUUCGAUGCCAUUGGUUGGAACAUGUUUAAGCAUCAGGCUUCCCUCAUGCCCACGAUAGUCUGCAUGACUGGGUAUGAGUUUAGGACGUUGCUUGAUUGUUUUGAUGCUUGUGUUGGGACAUGAUUCGGCAACGUACUUGAUGAAGUGCCUGUGAAUGGGGACUUGUCCUGCGCCAACAAUGAGGGGGAUGCUAAGAGCUGGAAGGCAAGGGGGUACAAACACCAGUCAGCCUUUGUCCUGAUUGCUGAGUGUUAUGUGCUUGACGUCCAAGGCUUGAUGUUGACCCUCUAAUUGGAAACUUUUGUUUUCGUGCGGUGCAUUCUGGGGGCUGUUUUGGCUUUUGGUUGCUUGCUUGGGCUUUAUGCUAGGCGGGUGGCUAAC
RNAcentral lists this unclassified non-coding RNA (440 nucleotides) under Smallanthus macroscyphus. RNAcentral describes it as "partial external transcribed spacer". Lineage: Eukaryota; Viridiplantae; Streptophyta; Magnoliopsida; Asterales; Asteraceae. The record is from RNAcentral.